UAACUUAAGCAUAUCAAUAAGCGGAGGAAAAGAAACCAACAGGGAUUGCCCCAGUAACGGCGAGUGAAGCGGCAACAGCUCAAAUUUGAAAUCUGGCCCCCCGCCCGGGGGCCCGAGUUGUAAUUUGCAGAGGAUGCUUCGGGCGCGGCGGCCUUCUGAGUCCCCUGGAACGGGGCGCCGCAGAGGGUGAGAGCCCCGUACCGUCGGCCGCCAAGCCCGCGUGAAGCUCCUUCGACGAGUCGAGUAGUUUGGGAAUGCUGCUCAAAAUGGGAGGUAAAUUUCUUCUACAGCUAAAUACCGGCUAGAGACCGAUAGCGCACAAGUAGAGUGAUCGAAAGAUGAAAAGCACUUUGAAAAGAGGGUUAAACAGCACGUGAAAUUGUUGAAAGGGAAGCGCCUGUGGCCAGACGUGCGCCGGGCGGAUCACCCAGCGUUCUCGCUGGUGCACUCCGCCCGGCGCAGGCCAGCAUCGGUUCCCGCGGGGGGACAAAAGCGCCGGGAACGUAGCUCCCCCCCGGGGAGUGUUAUAGCCCGGGGCACAAUGCCCCCGCGGGGACCGAGGUCCGCGCCCUGCAAGGAUGCUGGCGUAAUGGCCACCGGCGACCCGUCUUGAAACACGGACCAAGGAGUCAAGGUUCUGCGCGAGUGUUUGGGUGUCAAACCCGCACGCGUAAUGAAAGUGAACGUGGGUGAGAGCUUCGGCGCAUCACCGACCGAUCCUGAUGUACUCGGAUGGAUUUGAGUAGGAGCGUAGUGCCUUGGACCCGAAAGAUGGUGAACUAUGCUUGGAUAGGGUGAAGCCAGAGGAAACUCUGGUGGAGGCUCGCAGCGGUUCUGACGUGCAAAUCGAUCGUCAAAUCUGAGCAUGGGGGCGAAAGACUAAUCGAACCAUCUAGUAGCUGGUUACCGCCGAAGUUUCCCUCAGGAUAGCAGUGUUGUUCUUCAGUUUUAUGAGGUAAAGCGAAUGAUUAGGGACUCGGGGGCGCUAUUUAGCCUUCAUCCAUUCUCAAACUUUAAAUAUGUAAGAAGCCCUUGUUGCUCAGCUGAACGUGGGCCUUCGAAUGCACCAACACUAGUGGGCCAUUUUUGGUAAGCAGAACUGGCGAUGC
This 1109-nucleotide ribosomal RNA is filed under the name Linocarpon appendiculatum. Its description in RNAcentral is "eukaryotic LSU rRNA". It matches the Rfam family "Eukaryotic large subunit ribosomal RNA", at positions 30 to 1159 of the family's 3401-position model. The record is from RNAcentral. Lineage: Eukaryota; Fungi; Ascomycota; Sordariomycetes; Chaetosphaeriales; Linocarpaceae.